GUACGGGAGGCAGCAGUGGGGAAUAUUGCGCAAUGGGGGAAACCCUGACGCAGCAACGCCGCGUGGAGGAAGAAGGUUUUCGGAUUGUAAACUCCUGUCUUCUGGGACGAUAAUGACGGUACCAGAGGAGGAAGCCACGGCUAACUACGUGCCAGCAGCCGCGGUAAUACGUAGGUGGCGAGCGUUGUCCGGAAUUACUGGGCGUAAAGGGCGCGUAGGCGGCUCUUUAAGUUAGAUGUGAAAACCCGAGGCUUAACUUCGGGAGUGCAUUUAAAACUGAAGGGCUGGAGUGCAGGAGAGGUAAGUGGAAUUCCUAGUGUAGCGGUGAAAUGCGUAGAUAUUAGGAGGAACACCAGUGGCGAAGGCGACUUACUGGACUGUAACUGACGCUGAGGCGCGAAAGCGUGGGGAGCAAACAGGAUUAGAUACCCCGGU
RNAcentral lists this ribosomal RNA (435 nucleotides) under uncultured bacterium. RNAcentral's name for it is "bacterial SSU rRNA". It matches the Rfam family "Bacterial small subunit ribosomal RNA", at positions 339 to 791 of the family's 1533-position model. The record is from RNAcentral.